This 1091-nucleotide long non-coding RNA is filed under the name Ictidomys tridecemlineatus (thirteen-lined ground squirrel). RNAcentral's name for it is "lncRNA (ENSSTOG00000032565.1)". Lineage: Eukaryota; Metazoa; Chordata; Mammalia; Rodentia; Sciuridae. The record is from RNAcentral.
GUCACCAGGCGGCCCCAGCCCUGCGCUUCUGUCCCUCUCCCCCGCAGCAGGAUCCGCGGCUUUCCUCGACAGAGCGGGUGUCUGCGAGGGUUUCCGCGGAAUACUGAAAGAGGAGCUCGUCACCUGUCACAGGAGCGAUGACAGACGUCCGUGUGGCACGGGGCCUGGGGCUGAGAGGUGCUGAGAGACAAGGGACGUUCACAGCAAGACUCUCCUCCCGCCGGCUCACGCACACGGGCACCCUGUCUAGAAGCAGGACCCGCCAUCUGCUCCAGAGUCUGCUCUCCCUCCCAGCAAGGUCUCCAGAGGGGGCCAGUAUGCGCGCAGCACAGGACAGAGCCGGGAGGCUGGGCUGCAGCGUCCACAGACCCGCAGAGCAGUGGCAGGGCUGGGGAGGGGCAGCAGUGACGGCCAGCCUGGGGGUCUCCGAGGUGUCAGCAUCUCACGCCAUGUGACCAGCCUGAGCCUGCUCCUGCGUUAGCUCCUGGCCGGCAGGGAGCGGGGCUGCAGCGGGCCACCCAGGACGCCGUCGGCACGUCCACCCUGCAGGACCUUCUGUAGAGCAGCCUCCUGUGUCCACCAGAAGUUGCAAGGAUGAGACGAGUGUCCACGAUGCAGUGGCCACAGCCCGAUUGCCUGGGGUGGGCUGAGGAGGGGCCACUGAGGAGGGAGGUCACUGGUCAGCCAGGGCAAGAUCCUCUGCUGCAUGGACCGUGGCCAGUGCCUGACCAGCUCUGGGCCACACGAGUGGCAGCAACAGUCUUCUGUUAGGAGAGAGGGACAAGAGGACCUGGGUCGGGCUCCAGGGGGCAGCAGCUGUGUGUGGACAUGAAGUGGACGCUGGCAAUUAUUAAAAUCUGUGUGUGGCCUGCUGUGCACGGGCUGUGUGUGCUGUGCACAGGGGGUGGCGUGUGCAUAGGUGGGGCAUUCUGUACCUAGUGUGCACGUGUGCCGUGUGGCGACACAGGUGUGCUGCUGCACGUGACAGUCUGUGUGUGGUGCUGGGUGUGCCUGGUGUGUGUUAUAUGUGCAUGGCACAUGCUGGGUGUGCCCGGUGUGUGCUGGGUGUGCACGGCGAGUGCUGUGCCUGC